AGCUGUUUUUUAGCAGGCUUAUCUGACAAUUAGAUCGAGAAACAAUUCUUUUGGCUGUGCAUUAUCAGAUCUGUUGCAGGUUGACUUACUGGGUGCUGGUGCCUUAUCAAACUCUUUGAGACUGCACGCAUGGCAGGGGUGGCAUAGUGAGCUUACCUAUUAAGGAACAGUUUCAAUUGAAACUCGUGUAUGUAAAAUAUUUCCUAUUGGCAGUGUAAACAGUUUCUUGAAAUUGAUUUUGUUACUCAAAACAUAUGGAUCUGUUUCGUACUUAUAGUAUGUCGAUUUUAAUCUUCAUAUUCUGUUUGCAAGAGGAGAUGGUGUAAAGCAGAUGGGGAAUUCUUAGCUUUUUCAUUGACGAAGAAUUCACUGAAACUAUUGCACAUUUGAAGAAUUGAAUUCUGCAAAUGUCACUGCAGUAUCAAGGAAAGCAGGUUGAGGAGCUUAUCUACAACCUGGCAUACAUAGAAUUUCAAAUUUAUUUUCCGUACUUCAGAUACUCGUACUGUCUGCCCAAGCCAGUAAGGUAGAUUUGAAUUGCAAGUCCAGAAGCUCAUCGUAUUGGUAGGGAAGGGGGUGGAAGAACAUGUUUCAAGGAAAUAGAUCUGUGUAGAAUGCCAAGGCUAGGAAAUGGAGAGUGGAUGUACGAGAAAUCACACUGCUGUGGUGGAAAGACUGUAAAUGCUGCAGAAGGCAAAAUUUCUUGUUUGUCAAAUGGCACUAAGAUCUUUUACUGGGUAGGAUUUUACCCUUGUGGUUUCUGAUAGUUUUCUUUACUUGAUUGGUGGAGGUAUUUGUGUGUUUUGGGCAGCGCAUGGGUGUCCACCGUUUGGUCCUACUGUGCAGAAUUUCGCCGAUCAGAAAUGGAGAAGGAAAAGCAGUAGAAACUGGUCUUCGGCAAAAUGAAUAUGGCUGAGCACACAAACUCUUGAAGAGAAGUCGUCUGUCUUCUGUUAUAAAUAGAUCCUCUGUUGAAUUCGUGUAACUAAAACUUCUGCUGAUUUUCCUCACGUAAUAAAUGUCAUGCAGUCUUCUGAAGAAACAUAGGGUGGAUUUGGUGUCCGUCAUAAAUGUCAUUCCAAGUAACAUUAUGUUGCCCUGUGCAGAACGCGUUUGCAUUGAUGUGCGUCAAGACUCUUUUAGGCCCUGGAUGCUAUUUGGCACUGUUGUGUCUGAGCCUAACUAAAGCAGCGUUUGCUAGUUUGCAAAGAAGUGUUCUUGUUGCUGUUGCUCUCUCUUCUUAAAAAGGUGUUUGGUUAAUCACUUGGGAUUGGUGAGAAAUAUACCGACAAUCCUUUUAAUAAUAAAGACAAUUGGUGAGAGUUCUGUUUGAAAUCCUUAUGCUUUAACAUGCUGAUACUGUACAGCCGGGUAAAUAAGGUUAAAAGAAAAUUUUGAUGUACUUUUGAUGGUAACAAGAUGGUUCGUUUUGCAGAAUCAUGCCUCUGGCUCUCCUACAUGGCGACCCUUCUUAUCACACUAUUCCUUUAAUUCUUUAGUUAUUAUGUUACUUUUCUGUUAUCAUUAUAUUCUUACCAGGACAGGAGGUGAUGUGAACAUUGAGAACUAACUCAAAUAUGUUCCAAUGUUA
This is a non-coding RNA of Nicotiana tabacum (common tobacco), 1591 nucleotides long. NCBI's taxonomy places the organism in Eukaryota, Viridiplantae, Streptophyta, Magnoliopsida, Solanales, Solanaceae. The record is from RefSeq and is a predicted model, not a curated record.